Molecule: transfer RNA, 73 nt
Filed under: Bacillus sp. BHET2
Lineage: Bacteria; Bacillati; Bacillota; Bacilli; Caryophanales; Bacillaceae
Description: tRNA-Phe
Rfam family: tRNA
About the family: Transfer RNA (tRNA) molecules are approximately 80 nucleotides in length. Their secondary structure includes four short double-helical elements and three loops (D, anti-codon, and T loops).
Source: RNAcentral
GGCUCAGUAGCUCAGUUGGUAGAGAAAUGGACUGAAAAUCCAUGUGUCGGCGGUUCGAUUCCGUCCUGAGCCA